Rattus norvegicus (Norway rat) is the source of this 138-nucleotide small nuclear RNA. Ensembl annotates it as U1 spliceosomal RNA. The record is from Ensembl. Lineage: Eukaryota; Metazoa; Chordata; Mammalia; Rodentia; Muridae.
AAACCGCAGGGAGGAAGCAUGAUCUCAGAGGUGGCUCUCCCAGGGCCAGUGUUAUCCAUUGCACUUCAGAUGCGCGGACCUUCAUAUUUCCCCAAUGUGGGAAACUGGACUGCAUCCUUUCUGGUAGUGAAAGUCUCC